Molecule: unclassified non-coding RNA, 251 nt
Filed under: plant metagenome
Description: partial contains small subunit ribosomal RNA, internal transcribed spacer 1, and 5.8S ribosomal RNA
Rfam family: Eukaryotic small subunit ribosomal RNA (bases 1-54)
Source: RNAcentral
GGAAGUAGAAGUCGUAACAAGGUCUCCGUAGGUGAACCUGCGGAGGGAUCAUUACAGAGUUCAUGCCCUACCGGGUAGAUCUCCCACCCUAUGUUAUUAUUACUUUGUUGCUUUGGCGGGCCGUUAGGCUCCGGCCCGACUACCGGCCCCGGCUGGUAAGCGCCCGCCAGAGGACCCAAAACCCUGAAUAUUAGUGUCGUCUGAGUACUAUAUAAUAGUUAAAACUUUCAACAACGGAUCUCUUGGUUCUG